Molecule: ribosomal RNA, 468 nt
Filed under: uncultured bacterium
Lineage: Bacteria
Description: partial 16S ribosomal RNA
Rfam family: Bacterial small subunit ribosomal RNA
Source: RNAcentral
GACGAACGCUGGCGGCGUGCUUAACACAUGCAAGUCGAACGGAAAGGCCCUGCUUUUGUGGGGUGCUCGAGUGGCGAACGGGUGAGUAACACGUGAGUAACCUGCCCUUGACUUUGGGAUAACUUCAGGAAACUGGGGCUAAUACCGGAUAGGAGCUCCUGCUGCAUGGUGGGGGUUGGAAAGUUUCGGCGGUUGGGGAUGGACUCGCGGCUUAUCAGCUUGUUGGUGGGGUAGUGGCUUACCAAGGCUUUGACGGGUAGCCGGCCUGAGAGGGUGACCGGCCACAUUGGGACUGAGAUCCGGCCCAGACUCCUACGGGAGGCAGCAGUGGGGAAUAUUGCACAAUGGGCGGAAGCCUGAUGCAGCAACGCCGCGUGCGGGAUGACGGCUUUCGGGUUGUAAACCGCUUUCGCCUGUGACGAAGCGUGAGUGACGGUAAUGGGUAAAGAAGCACCGGCUAACUACGUG